Long non-coding RNA from Prosopis cineraria, 2956 nucleotides. RefSeq lists it as uncharacterized. Lineage: Eukaryota; Viridiplantae; Streptophyta; Magnoliopsida; Fabales; Fabaceae. The record is from RefSeq and is a predicted model, not a curated record. The transcript is spliced from 4 exons.
UCCCUACCGCUCUCUCAAGAAUGCCACCGCCUUAUUUUCUUUUUCUCCUGCGACCUCGCUUCGCUAAUUCGCUCGUCCCGGUUCCCUCCUCCAGAUUGCUUUUUGUUUCUAACCGAUGAUCACCAAGAAUGGAGGAUUCCCUUUUCAAAUCUGGCUCUCUGGCACAGGGGCGACGCUCGGAUCGUUUCAGUCUUUGUAAUCUUACACGCUGGGGUUUUCAUAGCUACCAUGCUCCUCAAUGGAGGACUCCUUUUUUGUUUGCUCGUCCCGGGUCCCUCCUUCAGAUUGCUCCGCAUGGCGGUGCUCAAUUACUUGUUCUCCAUAGAGAAAAAAAUGUCAGUAAAAUUAAAUUUGGAGGAGGAGAGGGCAAGGGCGAAUGGAGGUCGAGGACAGAGUAGUGUGAAGGCGAUGCUACCUGACGACAAUAAAAUUUGGAGGUUAGUGAGGACAAAACAAGCGAAGAAUGCCCUGGUGUCAUCUCCUGUGCUGAUAUUGUAGCCAUUGUUGCUCGUGACUCUAUUGUUCUUUUAUAUUGAAGCUUGGAGGACUUGCCUGGAAAGUAAAGCUGGAAAGAAGAGAUUCAAAGACAGCAUCUAGCUUGGCUGCUGCAAACAUUAAAUCUCCUUUUUCUUCACUCAGCACUCUCAUCUCCAACAUUAAAUCUCACGGCCUCUCUGCUAGGGGACAUGGUUGCCUUAUCUGAUCUUGAUAUUGAUGUUGAGCAUAUCUUGAAGGAUUGCAUGUUUGGUUGUUUGAGAUCACACCUUCAACUUUAAGUGCUUGAAGCACUUUAAAUUAGGUUGCAUCCUCUCCUUCACUCUUACUUAUCAUAUUGCUUGUUGAUUUCUCUGAUUGGGAAUUGUCUAAGUGAGGGGGAGGUAUCCAGUGGGAAAAGCUAAAAAAAAAAAAAAAAAAAAUCCAUUACAUUUAGUUUGGAUUGCAUUUAGGUUUUUUGACAUUUUGAAGCUUUUUUUCUCUUAGUUGUUGCAUUCAUUUAGGUUGAUAAGUUAAGUUUGUCGGGAUUGAAGGCUGUAACAUUUAAGAGUGUAUUUUUGAAAGGGGGGGAGGGGAGUGUGUUUUAAGUCAUUUUGCAUGGUUUUAUGAGUUGGCCAAAAUUUUUCUGAUUCUGUUUUUGAAAAAGCUUUAGAAAAUUAAAUAAAAGUUUUGUUUUGAUUCAAGGAUGCUUGGUUUGAUAAGAUUGCCAAUGAGAUUUGAAGCAUUAGACUUGGAUGUUUCAAGUGUAGCUAGGAUAGGAUAGAAUGUUCUACUUGGUUUGCUUGAGCUAGGGGAUAACAUAGCCCAUAUGGAAGGUUAUUUUGAGCCUAUAUUGAUUCCUUUCUAGUGUGAAUGAUCCACUUAUUCUAUUUCAUUCUUCAGAACUUGUUCUUAUUCUUUAUCAUAGCCAGUUUUGCAUAUGUAUUGUGAAGAUGAUAAAGGCAUUCGUAUAAAAUAGCCAGUCUAGCCAAAUAGCCAACCUAACAUGAUUGUAUCCUUUGCUAGCCACUUUGAACCUAUUGGUUAUUUUCUUUCAUUCCAUUCAUUAUUUACUCCCUCAUGCUUUCCAGGAAUGCAAGUUAUGCUAUAUUAUUGUUGGGAUCCAUUUGCAUGUCUAGUAUUCAAGUUGUGGAUAAUCUGAGUUGUAUUGAAUAUUCGAUAUAAAUUGUGAAUGAAUUGAAGGCGAAAGUUGAAAUGAUUGUUUUGCAGCAGCUAGAAAAAGAAAAGAAAAGAAAAGAAAACAAGGAGAAAAGGCCAAUAAAAAAUUGUCAAAAAGAAAAGAACACAAGGAGAAAAAGCCAAGGGAAGAUUGUCAAAAAGAAGGAAAAAAAAAAAAAGGCAAUAGGCAAUGUGAAAAAAAUGUGGAAAAAAAUAGAAAGAAAGAAAAAAAAAAAGAAGAAAAGAAAUAAGAGUUAUUGUUUGCUUAGUUAUGAAUCACCUUGCUCUUAGUUGAUUAGUAUUGUAUGUUUUCCAUGUCUUGAACCUAGCUUAUGCUUAUGGAUCCCAUGUCAUUGGUUUGGGAAAUAACUGUUAUCUAUGUGUUAUACCCUUUUUCUUUUCACUUGCAUUCCUACAUCCGCUUUUCACCCUUUACAUUACAACCAAAUGAAAGACCUUUUGAUUCAUGUAUGCAUUAUGAUAAUAAGUGGUGGAGAUUUAGAAUAUGUACAAGCCUAUGAUAGAAUGAUUAGAUAAGUGGACUUGAGUGAAAUUUACCCCUAACUGCUAGUGAGAUGAGAGUAAACACUUUUCUUUGUGUGGUUAUCUGCCUAUCCAAGUUUACUGGGUUUGAUUCCUGAAUAUUCUAGUUGCAUGAGAAUCAUUUCAGGUUGAGCAUGGAGAAUCGAAUUGGCAUAAUUAUCAUUCUGAGCAUGAUGAACUCAUUAAUGUUUUCUUGAUGAGUGAUAUUUCUUACCUUCUUUUCACCCUCAUUUUUGUUGGUUUUUGUCACUUAAUCUUCACAAAAAUGAGUAUUUUAAAACACUGAGCUAUGAUUUUGGGAUUUUUAAGGUCAAAAGUUUUGGGCCAAAAUUGUAAUUUUCAAAGAUACGUUCAAAAAAUUCUCAAUUUUUAUUGGUUGAAAGAAUUUGAGUCAUACAUUCCUAGGACGAGUUAAGCUUGAGUUCAUUCUUCCUAGUUAAGGAAUAAAUCACGCAUUGCUUUAACUUAAGACACUUUAAUUACUUAGUUUAGCUACUUCCUUGUUUGCCUUCCAGCUUAUGUGUCUGUGUACUGGGUUCAGAACUAACUUUGGGAAUAAUUGAAGUUUUAGGCUAUGAAAUUUUCUUAUUUAAAUUAACUAACAUUUAUAACAAUUAAUUUUUCUUUCCACUCUACCUCUUUUGUUGCAUGUCUCCCUUCUCUCGUGAUGGAUUUUUUUUGAAGAGCUUGAGUCUCUUCAGUGAACAAGCUAACCUGAGCCUAUGUAAGAACCGAUUGGUAUCAUUGAAGGGCAAGCUAA